RNAcentral lists this ribosomal RNA (485 nucleotides) under uncultured prokaryote. RNAcentral describes it as "partial 16S ribosomal RNA". The record is from RNAcentral.
CCCUACGGGGCGCGCAUACAGAGUUAGAAAAAGAUCUAAUCAUAUAACAGUUGUAGUUGCUGAAAAAGAAUAGUAAAUCUUAAUAAUAUUACACAGGAGGAACUUUUUGGGACAAAAAACACAUCCAAUCGGAUUUAGACUUGGAAUAAUAAAGAGUUGGGAUGCUAACUGGUACGAUGAAAAAAACUUUGCCCAAAAACUAGAAGAAGACUUGAUGAUAAGAAAUUACAUCAAGAACCGUUUAAAGAAAGCCGGUAUUGCCAGAGUAGUCAUUGAAAGAACUCCAAAGAGUAUCGUUCUCACACUUUACACAUCCCGUCCGGGUAUUGUAAUCGGAAAGAGCGGUAAAGAAAUUUCUCAAUUGGAAGAAGAAUUAAAGAAAGUUACAAGUAAGGAUGUUAAAAUGCUCAUCAACGAGGUUAAACGUCCUGAAUUAGAUGCUAAUAUGGUUGCCGAGAAUAUCGCGCAGCAAUUGGCGGGGGGGC